CAGUAGCCACGGUAAUACGAAGGGAGCUAGCGUUGCUCGGAAUUACUGGGCGUAAAGCGCACGUAGGCGGAUAUUUAAGUCAGGGGUGAAAUCCCGCAGCUCAACUGCGGAACUGCCUUUGAUACUGGGUAUCUUGAGUAUGGAAGAGGUUAGUGGAAUUGCGAGUGUAGAGGUGAAAUUCGUAGAUAUUCGCAGGAACACCAGUGGCGAAGGCGGCUAACUGGUCCAUAACUGACGCUGAGGUGCGAAAGCGUGGGGAGCAAACAGGAUUAGAUACCCCCGUAGUCCCUGUCUCUUAUAC
RNAcentral lists this ribosomal RNA (301 nucleotides) under uncultured bacterium. RNAcentral describes it as "partial 16S ribosomal RNA". It matches the Rfam family "Bacterial small subunit ribosomal RNA", at positions 509 to 807 of the family's 1533-position model. The record is from RNAcentral.